ACCUCAUGAGCAGAAAACCUGGGAAGAAGCUCGAGAAAACUGCAAGGGAAAGAUUUCCGAUUUGGCUGUUGUAAUUAAUGCAGCAGAAAAGAAAUAUAUCAGUGAGAAAAGCUGGAAGAGUUCAGGAGAAAAAGGAUACUGGAUUGGUCUGAGAGUUGAAAAUGGGAAAUGGAAAUGGGUGGAUGGAAGUUAUCUGACUAAUAACUCCUGGAUUCAGCAGCCUCCUUCUGAUGGUCUCUGUGUAAUUUCUGUCCAAAAUGAAGGAUUUAAAUCAGUGAGCUGUGACAAGAAGAAACAAUGGAUUUGUAAAAAGAGACUCUAACUAUUUGAAUUACCACAGUUAGACUUCAGAAGACCUUUGUAAUCUACCAUGAUAUCAUGUCUACCAUGAGAUGGGAGUACGUUCACUCCUUUUCCAGAGUUUUCUGGCAUACCACACACAUCCUAAGGUCAUGAGAGAGGCCCUAUCUUCUCUUUCUUUUAUAUGGUAUGGCAAACACAUCUACACAUGCCAGAGGGGCCGAUGGCGCGAUAUGGCAGCCUCGCCUCUGUCAGUCUGCCCCAGGGCAGCUGUGGCUACAACCGUAGCUUGCCUCCACCAGUGUGUGAAUGUGAGCGUGAAUGAAUAAUGGCAUUGUAAAGCGCUUUGGAUGCCUUGAAAAGCGCUAUAUAAAUCCAAUCCAUUAUUACAUACACACGCAUACCUACACGUACACACAGACUGGUA
Molecule: long non-coding RNA, 727 nt
Organism: Oreochromis niloticus (Nile tilapia)
Lineage: Eukaryota; Metazoa; Chordata; Actinopteri; Cichliformes; Cichlidae
Exons: 3
Source: RefSeq, a predicted model, not a curated record